RNAcentral lists this non-coding RNA (22 nucleotides) under Arabidopsis thaliana (thale cress). The record is from RNAcentral. Lineage: Eukaryota; Viridiplantae; Streptophyta; Magnoliopsida; Brassicales; Brassicaceae.
AUCGCUGCGGGCUUCCACCAGA